UUGGUGCCCACUCAAAGUUACCAAGUUCUGGGGGAAGUUGGGUCAAGCUGAGUUUUCAUCAUGGGACCACAGUUAUUAGCACAGCAGAAACAUUAUAUGAAAGUAUUGAAACAGUUACUUAAGGCUAGCGGAGCCUCAGUUUCACAGGCUCAAUUAAGGGACCUAAUCAUCCAUGCUAGACAAACUGUUGCAAUGCAAACUGUUGUGAUCCCAAGCCCAUGGUUCCCGGAAGAAGGAACGCUAGACGUAGAACUCUGGGAACAAAUGGGGAGAAAUCUUAACAUGUGCAAAGGCAACAGGUCCCAGUAACAGCUUUAACGUUAUAGGCUUUAAUUAGAGCAGCCUUAGCUCUGUUACACGCAGAAGAGCCUAAAAAGAGCAAGGAGGAGAAAACGUCACCUGCCUUAUCACCUCCUCUUCCCUCCACCCUAAUAUCACCGGGCCGAAAUAACAGAGGAAACGGGGGUUUAUACCUGAGCCUCCUCCUCCAAUAGAUAGGAAAAAAGACCUAGGAUAUGCUACAGCUAUCAGUCCCUGUCUUAAGCGGGCAGCAUUAGAAGCAGAGCUCUUACUCUGCCCAGUAAUGCAGAAUCGGCAAGGCCAUCAGGUGUAUGUUUAUAAAAAGAUAAGAAAAAAGGCAUUAGGAGCCGAAAGCCGUGCAGCCGAGCAAGUAGUAAAUAAAAAGAAAGGCUCGGCAGCCCGGAAGUUCACAGAAACAGAGCCCGCACAGGCAAAAGGCAGCGCUUUUACAAGUGUAAAACGGCUACCGCCCAGGGACCCGCCGGCUCAGCUCUCUAGCUCUGCAGGUGACCCAAGGCAAGUGCUCCUUGUUUACAAGCGACAUCCCAGAUUAUAAUUCUCUGCUAAAAUUUAAGUAAAAUGUAAGAAUUUGAAAAACCUCUUUUCUGAUAAUGGCCACUGUUGCUCUCUCUCUCCUACCCCUGACGUAGCUCUCCAAAUCCAAUUUAGGUAAAACAGUAACCUCUGAAGGGAGAGAGAUUACAGAAGGCCGAUGAAUUAAAGAGUAGUUAAAAGCUAGGCAUGUAAAACCACACAUUACCCUUUAAAGGAGAACUUUAAACCUAACUAAAUCAUAUUUGUUAAAUUAGAAGAAAAGUUGUAUGUAAGUGUAGUGAAAGCAUAUGCAUGAAUGACUGUCGUAACCCACUGAUUAGAUAGUCUUUGAUUUAUACUUGCUAAAAGAGUCCUGAAUUCAGUUCCCCAACUACUGGGUCACUGUUUUCAAGACUGUUGGCCAGAUUAAAGUCCAUAAACUUGAUCAGCCUGAAAACUCAAUUGCAAGAUUUAAGCUGUUUGUUCUGCCUGUGGCUUUAAGCACAUGGUUAAAGUAUAUUAUUUAAGUUUCUGCUUCUAGAGAUGCUUUCAGAUUUUCUUUUUAAAUUUCAUGUUACUUAUUUCAACUUGCCAUCUUAAUGAUUAAUGCAGUCAAUUGCUAAGUUAUAACCCUGAUAUCAUCAGGAUUCCUUUAAGUAAAAGGUAAUUCGAAGCGGUACUGCACUUCCCCAUACCUAAUGCUUUAACACUGUUUACUGAUGGGUCUGGUAAACAUGGAAAAGCGGCAGUCUAGUAGAGACCACACAAUUCCAUCACUCAGAGUUUACUAGCACUCAGAGAGCUGAGGUUACUCUGUUUAUUUAUUAAAGAACUUUUACAGCAUGAAGUUAGCUCUGGAGACCACUCUGUGUGCUCUUUUUCUCCGACUUCAGCAAUUGCUAGACCAACGUACACGUCCUGUUUUUAUUACACACAUUCGAGCCCACAGCUCUCUGCCUGGCCCAUUGGCUUAUGGCAAUGAUCAAGCAGAUCUUCAGGUUGUAACAUCACUGCUAGACCAAGCCACCCAAUUGCAUCAAUUUUUCUACUAAAAUUAGAGAAACUCAUCUUAAACAACUUCAACUUACACAGAGACUGGCUAAACAAAUUAUCUGAUGGUGCCCAGAUUGCCAGCUCACAGGCACAGCCCCUCUUUCAACAGGUGUUAACCCUAGAGGAUUGGAACCUAAUCAGUUGUGGCAAACAGAUGUUACAUCCCUAAAUUUGGGAAACUAAGAUAUAUACAUGUAUCCGUUAAUACCAACACUCACCUAAUUAGUGCACAUUAAAAAGAGAAAUAAAGGGAAAGAAUGAGUAAGAAAGAGACUAGAAAAGACAGAUCAGAGACAGACACAAAAAGACUAAGGAGAGAAAGUAGGAAGAAAGGAAAGAAAUAUUAAAGUUACAGAUAUAAGAAUGCACCUUUAGUAAGGAAGGUUAUAAAACAUAGUCAGAAAGUUAAGGCAUGUUAAAGAUUGUCUGUGAAAGUUGUGAAGAAUGUUAUGAAAAGGAAUUUAUGCAGGAAAUAUAUAAUUUUUGUUUUGAAGGUCUAAACAAGUUUUAAAACGUUAAUUGUAAAAAAAAUUCUGUGUGUAAACAUAUUGGCUAAAAUAAAAAAGGUAUCACCCAGUUUUUCUGUAAACUAGACAUUAAAGUACAACAAGUUUUUCUUAAAACACUAACCUGCUCUUUAAAGACUGUAAAAAGUCUCUCAGCACAGGCACCACCCCUAGAAUUUCCAGUACACCAGCACCAGCCUGGAGACUACAUUCUUAUCAAAGGAUGGAAAGAAGAAAAAUCUCAAGCCAGCCUGAGAAAAGCCCUACAGGACUCGCAGCCUCAACAAUGUGGCUUCCGAAGACAACACAGGUCCCAGGCAUUAUGCUAAAGAAGGAAAAGGCUAAGCCAGAUAAUUUAUUCAUUUUAAAUUCUCUCACUUUACCUACUACCUAUACCUGCUACACUCUAUUAAGCUCAUCUCUUAAAUCUGCCUUUUUUCAGUCCUGUCAUCUAGGCAGACACUCCCUUUCCAGCUUCUAACAAUAUCUAUGUGUCAAUGUAUGUUUUAUUCUUCUGUCGUUUGGGUCAGGGUCUGAGGGCAGACCCCUGCAGCUAAUGCCCUCAAGUGUGAGGAGCAAUACCUCAGAAAACUAUCCCAAAACCUACUUUACUCCACCUGUUGCUACUUUUCUGAGGAAAAAGUACUGAGUAAUUAUGAUGAACUGUCACUUAAAAAGUCAAGUUUGGUUGAAUUAUAUACAUCUACUUUAGCAUUAUGCUUAUGAAUAUUAACAUCUGAAGCAAAAUGCAUAUAUGUUGUUAAUUAUAAUUAUAAACAUAAAGCAUUGUGAUGUAAAUCUACACUUACAGGAAAUGAUCAUUACAAAGCAAAAAGGCAGGAACCGAAAACCAUGGGACUGAUAGCAAAACAUCCUUUCUGAAAAUUAGGGGAAUUCUAACUAUUUAUGUACAGUUAACAUUGCACGCAGCCAGACUUCUUUGUAGGAUACUAAUUUAGAGUAAUCACUAAACCCUAUUAAUGUGCUAAUUUUAUUAAAACAAAUUUUCAGUAAUCCUUAAUAACUCACAGACAAUUAGGUUUGGGAGACAACUAGUUUGGGAGGAGGAAGUCAGAGCCAACUAAGAAUUCCUGAAAAAAUAACAAGAGCAACUCUGUAUUUAUAAUUUAAAAUUCUUUGUGAAAUUUCCACUGCCUAUUUUCUUGAAAUUAUGUUUUACAUAUCCGUGUUUCUCCUUACCAGUCUCUCUCGUUCAAUCAUGGAAUUUGAGUGUCUGUUCAUUUAUUUAUUUUUUUUUUACUUUUCAUUGGUGUAUUAUAUUUACUAAGUUAACACAUUUUAAAUGUACAGUUGAAAGAAUUUUUACAUACUCCCCGUGUAACUCCUGUGUUAACCAUCUAUAAGAGAAACACAGAUGUGUAAAACGUAAUAUCAACAUACAGGAUAUAUCCAGUAACCCAAAGUCUCCCUAUGCCUCCUUCCAAUCAACAUUUCUUCAAAGGUAGGCAGUAUUUUUUUUUUUUUUUUUUUUUUUUUUUUUGAGAUGGAGUCUCGCUCUGUGGCCCAGGCUGGAGUGCAGUGGUGCUAUCUCGGCUCACUGCAAGCUCCACCUCCCGGGUUCACGCCAUUCUCCUGCCUCAGCCUCCCGAGUAGCUGGGACUACAGGCGCCCGGUAGGCAGUAUUUUUAUCUCUGUCACCAUUAGUUUUUUCCUGUUCUGGGUGUCAUAAUGAUGGAAUCAGAGAGUAUGUUUUCUUCAUGUCAGCUCGUCUCACUCAACAUUAUGUCUUUGAAAUUCCUCCAUGUGUUGCCACUUUGUAGCAGUGGCUUAUUUUUUUCUGUGUAGUAUUACUUUGUAUGAAUAUGCCAGAAUUUAUCGAUUCAACUACUGAUGGAUUUUUUUCAUUCUUUUGGUAAAUAUGAAUAGUUACUAUGGAUAUUCUUAUAGGUGUUUUUGGUAGACAUAUGCACUCAUGUCUCUUGACUAUAGUCCAAGCAAUGGAAUUGUUGGGUCAUAGGAUAGGUGUUUGUUUAGCUGCAGUAAAUUCUGCUAGUUUUCCAAAGUAAUUGGGCGUAUUUAGACUCCUACCAGCAAUGAUGAAAGUUCUGUUUCUCCACACCUUUAGUAUUGCCCGUACUUUUAAUUGUAGUCUAUCUGGUGUGUAGGAAGUAGCAUGUUAUUGUUUUUUUUAAACUAGCUCAUUGAGAUAUAUAUAUAAAAUAAACCGCAUAUAUUUAAAGUAUACAAAUAGAUUUUUUUUUUUUUUGAGACGGAGUCUCUGGAGUGCAGUGGCGCUUGGCUCACUGCAAGCUCUGCCUCCCGGGUUUACACCAUCCUCCUGCCUCAGCCUCCUGAGUAGCUGGGACUACAGGUGCCCGCCACCACGCCUGGCUAAUUUUUUGUAUUUUUAAUAGAGAUGGGGUUUCACCGUGUUAGCCAGGAUGGUCUCAAUCUCCUGACCUCGUGAUCUGCCCGCCUCGGCCUCCCAAAGUGCUGGGAUUACAAGCAUGAGCCACCGCGCCCGGCCACAAAUUGAUGUUUUAAAAUAUGUAUACACACCUGAAAUGAUCACCACCAAAACAAUGAACAUACCCAUUAUCUCCAAAAGUUUUCUGUGCCCCUUUGUAAUUCCUCCCUUUCUUUAGCCUCACUCCCCCAUUCCCAAGCAGCCACUGAUAUGCUUUCCGUGAUGAUAGUUUGCAUUUUCUAGUUUUAAAUAAACAGAAUCACAUAGUAUCUACUCUUUGUUGUCUAGCUUAACUCUGCAUAAUUAUUUUAAGAUUCACCCAUGUCAUCGCAUGUAUCAAAAGUCCAUUUUUUUGCUGAGUACUAUUCCAUUGUACAGCUAUACUACAAUUUGUUAUUCCAGUCAUCUGUUGAUGGACAUUUGGUUUGUUUCCAUUUUGGGGCUAUUACAAAUAAAGCUGUUACAAAC
This 5289-nucleotide long non-coding RNA is filed under the name Pan troglodytes (chimpanzee). Its description in RNAcentral is "lincRNA". Lineage: Eukaryota; Metazoa; Chordata; Mammalia; Primates; Hominidae. The record is from RNAcentral.